RNAcentral lists this ribosomal RNA (427 nucleotides) under uncultured bacterium. RNAcentral's name for it is "bacterial SSU rRNA". It matches the Rfam family "Bacterial small subunit ribosomal RNA", at positions 355 to 774 of the family's 1533-position model. The record is from RNAcentral.
UGGGGAAUUUUGGACAAUGGGCGCAAGCCUGAUCCAGCAAUGCCGCGUGCAGGAUGAAGGCCUUCGGGUUGUAAACUGCUUUUGUACGGAGCGAAAAGGUCUGCCCUAAUACGGUGGGCUCAUGACGGUACCGUAAGAAUAAGCACCGGCUAACUACGUGCCAGCAGCCGCGGUAAUACGUAGGGUGCGAGCGUUAAUCGGAAUUACUGGGCGUAAAGCGUGCGCAGGCGGUUAUGCAAGACAGAGGUGAAAUCCCCGGGCUCAACCUGGGACCUGCAUUUGUGACUGUAUAGCUAGAGUACGGUAGAGGGGGAUGGAAUUCCGAGUGUAGCAGUGAAAUGCGUAGAUAUGCGGAGGAACACCGAUGGCGAAGGCAAUCCCCUGGACCUGUACUGACGCUCAUGCACGAAAGCGUGGGGAGCAAACA